GGAGUUUGGGCCGUGUCUCAGUCCCAAUGUGGCCGGUCAUCCUCUCAGAUCGGCUACCAAUCGUCGCCUUGGUGGGCCGUUACCUCACCAACUAGCUAAUUGGACGCGGGUCCAUCCUGUACCACCGGAGUUUUUACCCCUGUGCCAUGCGGCACUGUGGUCUUAUGCGGUAUUAACAGUCGUUUCCAACUGUUAUCCCCCUGUACAGGGCAGGUUACCCACGCGUUACUCACCCGUCCGCCACUAAGUCAAAAAGCAAGCUUUCUGACUCCGUUCGACUUGCAUGUGUUAGGCACGCCGCCAGCGUUCGUC
This 312-nucleotide ribosomal RNA is filed under the name uncultured Moryella sp. Its description in RNAcentral is "partial 16S ribosomal RNA". Lineage: Bacteria; Bacillati; Bacillota; Clostridia; Lachnospirales; Lachnospiraceae. The record is from RNAcentral.